AGGGCAGACGGUGGAUGCCUUGGCUCUCGGAGGCGACGAAGGACGUGAUAAGCUGCGAAAAGCCCGGUUGAGGUGCAAAUAACCCUUGACGCCGGGAUAUCCGAAUGGGGAAACCCGAUUGGUAGAAAACCAAUCACAUCGAAAGAUGGGCGAACGUGGGGAACUGAAACAUCUAAGUACCCAUAGGAAGAGAAAAUAACAAUGAUUGCGUAAGUAGUGGCGAGCGAACGCGCAAGAGCCCAAACCAUAGAUGUUUUGGCAUCAUAUGGGGUUGUAGGAUCGCAAUGUGGCAAGAAGCAAAGGAAGUGGAACCCGCUGGAAAGAGGGCCAUAGAGGGUGAAAGUCCCGUACACGAAUCUUUUGUGAAGCCUAGCGAUAUCCUGAGUAAGUCGGGACACGUGAAAUCCUGACCGAAUCUGCGGGGACCAUCCCGUAAGGCUAAAUACUCCCGAGAGACCGAUAGCGAACCAGUACCGUGAGGGAAAGGUGAAAAGAACCUCGAAUAGAGGAGUGAAAUAGACCCUGAACCCGUCUGCCUACAAGCGGUCGGAGCACCUUUAAGGUGUGACGGCGUGCCUUUUGCAUAAUGAACCUGCGAGUUGUUUUUUUUGGCAAGGUUAAGCAUCAGUAGGUGCGCAGCCGAAGCGAAAGCGAGUCUGAAUAGGGCGACUAAGUCAAAAGGAGCAGACGCGAAACCAAGUGAUCUACCGAUGGCCAGGCUGAAGGUUGGGUAACACCAACUGGAGGGCCGAAUGGAUAUACGUUGAAAAGUGUUCCAAUGAGCUGUGGGUAGGGGUGAAAGGCUAAUCAAACUUGGAGAUAGCUCGUACUCCCCGAAAUGCAUUUAGGUGCAGCCUCGGGUAAGGUACUGAUGAGAGGUAGAGCGACUGAUUGGAUGCGAGGGCUUCACCGCCUAUCAAGUCCGGCCAAACUCCGAAUGCUCAUCAGCAACAUCCCGGGAGUGAGGGCAUGGGUGCUAAGGUCCAUGUCCGAAAGGAGAAGAAUCCAGAUCACCGGCUAAGGUCCCCAAAUAGCAGCUAAGUUGCAUUAACGAAGUCCGACCGCAGCGACAGCCAGGAUGUUGGCUUGGAAGCAGCCAUUCAUUUAAAGAGUGCGUAACAGCUCACUGGUCGAGGGGUCGGGCAUGGAUAAUAAUCGGGCAUAAGCUGUUUACCGAAGCCGUGAGAUCGAAAAGAUCGGUAGGGGAGCAUUCCAUUAUCAGCGUUGAAGAUGAGAGGUGACUCUUGUUGGAGCGGAUGGAAAAGCAAAUGCAGGUAUAAGUAACGAUAAAGGGGGUGAAAAACCUCCUCGCCGAAAGACCAAGGGUUCCUGAUCAACGCUAAUCGGAUCAGGGUUAGUCGGGACCUAAGGCUAAGCCGAAGGGCGAUGCCGAUGGAAGAACCGGUUAAUAUUCCGGUACUGCUUUGUGGAGUGAUGUGGAGACGGAGAAGUGACAGCUCGGCCAUCUGACGGAAUAGGUGGUUGAAGGGUGUAGACGUUGAUUGUUGUAGGCAAAUCCGCAACAAGAGUUGAACCUGACAGUAUGCAGCGUACUUGUACAAUGUAAUAAGAGCGUAAUCAGGCUCCCAAGAAAACCCGCUAAACAUAUCUACAAAGCACCCGUACUCGAAACGGACACACGUGGUCGGGUUGAAAAUACUAAGGCGCUCGAGUGAUUCACGGUUAAGGAACUAGGCAAAAUGGUCCUGUAACUUCGGGAUAAAGGACGCCAAUAGCAAUAUUGGUCGCAGAGAAUAGGCCCAGGCGACUGUUUAACAAAAACACAUGACUAUGCGAAAUCGAAAGAUGAGGUAUAUGGUCUGACACCUGCCCGGUGCUGGAAGGUUAAGAGGAGAUGUCAUCCUGCAAGGGAGAAGCAUUGAAUUGAAGCCCCAGUAAACGGCGGCCGUAACUAUAACGGUCCUAAGGUAGCGAAAUUCCUUGUCGGGUAAGUUCCGACCUGCACGAAUGGUGUAACGAUCUGGGCACUGUCUCAACUGUGAGCUCGGUGAAAUUGUAGUAUCGGUGAAGAUGCCGAUUACCCGCGAUGGGACGAAAAGACCCCGUGAACCUUUACUAUAGCUUUACAUUGAAAUUGGGCAUGCGAUGUGUAGGAUAGGCCGGAGGCUGAGAGACGGUGACGCCAGUCAUCGUGGAGCCGCUGUUGAAAUACGGCCCUUUGUGUGUUUGGUUUCUAACUCCCGGGAAAGGGAGGACGGUGUAUGGUGGGUAGUUUGACUGGGGUGGUCGCCUCCAAAAGCGUAACGGAGGCUUCU
RNAcentral lists this ribosomal RNA (2276 nucleotides) under human oral metagenome. RNAcentral's name for it is "bacterial LSU rRNA". It matches the Rfam family "Bacterial large subunit ribosomal RNA", at positions 14 to 2311 of the family's 2925-position model. The record is from RNAcentral.